Pezoporus flaviventris is the source of this 1149-nucleotide long non-coding RNA. RefSeq lists it as uncharacterized. The record is from RefSeq and is a predicted model, not a curated record. Lineage: Eukaryota; Metazoa; Chordata; Aves; Psittaciformes; Psittacidae. The transcript is spliced from 2 exons.
UUCUGUAUAUUCUUUUGAGGAGGUUAUAAUAGUUCAGAAAGUGUUUGCAAAAUUACCUGCUUACCAAAUUCAGUUCUUGCCUAUACUAUAUUCCUUCUGUGUUAGAAGACUGACAAGACUUAGUUUGUUAAAGACUUCAUUAUCAGGAAUUAGGCUUGUUCUGUUGACUGCUCUCUCUUUUGUAAAUAAGGAAAACACAAAGAUUGUGUCAGAAGGUGGUAGAGCACUUAGAGUGGAUGGGAUUUCUGCUUCUGAAGCUAGGAGAACCUCAGGCCAUCCUCUUUGACCUGAAGUGGCAAAUUCAGAGCUGUUACUGUUCCAUGAACUGGAGCAGUGAGCUCUUGCAGAGAUCUACUGCUUUGUCUGUAGAGGGCAGUCCUUUAUCUACUGUUAGAUGUGCUGUGUCUUCCUGUGGCAUCUCAGGCUGUUUAAAAUGUUCAUAAUUAACUGUAUCACCAGUCCUCUUUACCGCUAAAAUUCUGCAAAGAAAUCUGUCUUCUUGGUAAAAUGAUUUAUUUCUAUAUGCAAGCAAAGGUCCAGUUCAGAAGGCCUCCCCUAAAUGUAGCCAGUAACCAAAAGCUAUUUACUGCACACUGUAUGAAGAGAACACUUACAUGGAACAGUUUGUAGGCAGAUAAAUAGCAGAUUUUGUUAAAGGGUACUGCUUCUUCUGCUGUGCAAGUGUUAUUCUGCAUUACUCCUUGAUCCUAAAUGUAUCAUUAUCUUCUGUUAGGAAGCAUUCUGGAACUUCAUCUUGAUGGAGCUCUGUUUCCCCAUAGGUUUAAUGGUUGCUUAUAAGUUACUAAGAGUAAUCUUCCAAACUGGUGUUGUUUGGGAGACUGAGAAUUUAAGUAGUAGUUACAUCGUUCUAUAUAAAUUUAUGUUGUUCUUUAUUUGGCCUUUUCCCAUGGCUUUUGAGGUCUUCAGAAUGGGGGGUGGGAGGGGUGGAAGACUUGCCAGAGCUAGCAAUAUUAUGUUUUUGUUUUGAAAAGGAAGAAGAGUCAAAAAAGAGCCAGCAAAGCUGUUUGCAAACUUGUGGUUUUAAUUUCUACAUGCUGUUACACUCACCAUAUGCUGGCCACAGAGUACAGGGAUAUUCAGAUUGCAGUGUUUGCUGUUAGAGUAACUAACAAAUAAUUAGUAAAAUUC